This 1745-nucleotide ribosomal RNA is filed under the name Sphyraena pinguis (red barracuda). Its description in RNAcentral is "16S ribosomal RNA". It matches the Rfam family "Bacterial large subunit ribosomal RNA". Lineage: Eukaryota; Metazoa; Chordata; Actinopteri; Sphyraenidae. The record is from RNAcentral.
AGCCGACUAGCUAGCCCCACCCUCAAAUUUCAACAACUAAAUAUAAUUUAACCCCUAAGACACUAAAACCAAUAAACAAACCAUUUUGCCUCUUAAGUACGGGAGACGGAAAAAGACCACGGAGCGAUAGAAAAAGUACCGCAAGGGAACGCUGAAAGAGAAGUGAAACAACCCAGUAAAGCUCAAGAAAGCAGAGCUUAGAACUCGUACCUUUUGCAUCAUGAUUUAGCUAGUAUCCCCAAGCAAAGAGAACUUUAGUUUGACACCCCGAAACUAAGGGAGCUACUCCAAGACAGCCUGACUAUAGGGCGAACCCGUCUCUGUUGCAAAAGAGUGGGAAGAGCUUCGAGUAGAGGUGACAAACCUACCGAACUUAGUUAUAGCUGGUUGCCUGAGAAGUGAAUAGAAGUUCAGCCUUGCGGCUUCUCCCUUCAUAACUGCACCAGUACUUAUAAAGAUAAAAAGAACACCGCUUGAGUUAGUCGCAGGGGGUCCAGCCCCUACGACCCAAGACACAGCUUUUACAGGAGGGUAAAGAUCAUAUUCUACUAAAGAAAUAAUGUCUAGGUGGGCCUGAAAGCAGCCACCCCUAUAAAAAGCGUUAAAGCUCAGAUAUAACCUUAAUUCUAUUAUACCGAUAAAGAACCUCAUCCCCCUAAUUUUAUCAGGCCGCCCUAUGCACCCAUAGGAACGAUUAUGCUAAUAUGAGUAAUAAGAGAGGACCCCCUCUCUCCCUGCACACCUGUAACUCGGAACGGACCCCCCACCGAACAUUAACGGCCCCAAAAAAAGAGGGCAUUGAAGGACAAUCAAACCGACCAGAAGACCCUUCAGUACACUACCGUUGACCCUACACUGGCGUGCUACCGGGGAAAGACUUAAAGAAAGAGAAGGAACUCGGCAAACACCUGCCUCGCCUGUUUACCAAAAACAUCGCCUCUUGUCCCGCUAAAAUAAGAGGUCCCGCCUGCCCACUGACUAUAUGUUUAAUGGCCGCGGUAUUCUGACCGUGCAAAGGUAGCGUAAUCACUUGUCUUUUAAAUGGAGACUGGUAUGAAUGGCUUAACGAGGGCCUGACUGUCUCCUCUCUCUAAGUCAGUGAAAUUGAUCUCCCCGUGCAGAAGCGGGGAUUAAACCAUAAGACGAGAAGACCCUAUGGAGCUUUAGGUUAUGAGCCAGACCAUGUCAAUGCACUUUCAACAAUAAGCUAAACUUAGUGACUACCUGUUUCCUAUGCCUUCGGUUGGGGCGACCAUGGAGCAACAACACCCUCCACGUGGAAUAGGAGCAUUCAUGUUAACCCACAGAUUAUAAUUUUUCCCCUCCUCCUACAAUCAAGGGCUGCAGCCCUAAAUAACAAAACUUUUGACCUCCCUUGAUCCGGCAGCGCCGAUUAACGAACCAAGUUACCCUAGGGAUAACAGCGCAAUCCCCUUCUAGAGCCCAUAUCGACAAGGGGGUUUACGACCUCGAUGUUGGAUCAGGACAUCCUAAUGGUGCAGCCGCUAUUAAGGGUUCGUUUGUUCAACGAUUAAAGUCCUACGUGAUCUGAGUUCAGACCGGAGUAAUCCAGGUCAGUUUCUAUCUAUGCUACGCACCUUUUCUAGUACGAAAGGACCGAAAAGGAGAGGCCCAUAUUGUAAGCAAGCCUCUACCCUACCUAAUGAGACCAUCUAAAUUAGAUAAAGGGGAGUGACAUUAACAAGCGCAGAUAACGCUAAGCUAAGAGUCUAGUUAACUACUAG